GUUCGUUUGGGCAGGUGUGAACACAGCAAUCACACUCAGGUGUGCACCAAAACAACCGGACCGAGACCUUCUUGAAGAGGUGGUCUCAGUCCGGUUACAAAGGAACUCUGGUGCGGUUGGUUUGUGGUGAGAAGGUGUUCCGACCUGGAU
Molecule: long non-coding RNA, 150 nt
Organism: Epinephelus moara (kelp grouper)
Lineage: Eukaryota; Metazoa; Chordata; Actinopteri; Perciformes; Serranidae
Exons: 3
Source: RefSeq, a predicted model, not a curated record